CAGUAGCCACGGUAAUACGGAGGGUGCAAGCGUUAAUCGGAAUUACUGGGCGUAAAGCGCACGCAGGCGGUCUGUCAAGUCAGAUGUGAAAUCCCCGGGCUUAACCUGGGAACUGCAUUUGAAACUGGCAGGCUAGAGUCUUGUAGAGGGGGGUAGAAUUCCAGGCGUAGCGGUGAAAUGCGUAGAGAUCUGGAGGAAUACCGGUGGCGAAGGCGGCCCCCUGGACAAAGACUGACGCUCAGGUGCGAAAGCGUGGGGAGCAAACAGGAUUAGAGACCCCAGUAGUCCCUGUCUCUUAUAU
RNAcentral lists this ribosomal RNA (301 nucleotides) under uncultured bacterium. RNAcentral describes it as "partial 16S ribosomal RNA". It matches the Rfam family "Bacterial small subunit ribosomal RNA", at positions 509 to 809 of the family's 1533-position model. The record is from RNAcentral.